This 120-nucleotide ribosomal RNA is filed under the name uncultured bacterium. RNAcentral's name for it is "partial 16S ribosomal RNA". It matches the Rfam family "Bacterial small subunit ribosomal RNA", at positions 215 to 334 of the family's 1533-position model. The record is from RNAcentral.
GCGCGGUUGGAUGAGCCGAUGCCGGAUUAGCUAGUUGGCGGGGUAAAGGCCCACCAAGGCGACGAUCCGUAGCUGGUCUGAGAGGAUGAUCAGCCACACCGGGACUGAGACACGGCCCGG